This 253-nucleotide ribosomal RNA is filed under the name uncultured bacterium. RNAcentral's name for it is "partial 16S ribosomal RNA". It matches the Rfam family "Bacterial small subunit ribosomal RNA", at positions 524 to 776 of the family's 1533-position model. The record is from RNAcentral.
UACGUAGGUGGCAAGCGUUGUCCGGAAUUAUUGGGCGUAAAGCGCGCGCAGGCGGUCCUUUAAGUCUGAUGUGAAAGCCCACGGCUCAACCGUGGAGGGUCAUUGGAAACUGGGGGACUUGAGUACAGAAGAGAAGAGUGGAAUUCCACGUGUAGCGGUGAAAUCCGUAGAGAUGUGGAGGAACACCAGUGGCGAAGGCGACUCUUUGGUCUGUAACUGACGCUGAGGCGCGAAAGCGUGGGGAGCAAACAGG